RNAcentral lists this ribosomal RNA (253 nucleotides) under Klebsiella sp. D-Nf1. RNAcentral's name for it is "partial 23S ribosomal RNA". It matches the Rfam family "Bacterial large subunit ribosomal RNA", at positions 2696 to 2925 of the family's 2925-position model. Lineage: Bacteria; Pseudomonadati; Pseudomonadota; Gammaproteobacteria; Enterobacterales; Enterobacteriaceae. The record is from RNAcentral.
AGUGGACGCAUCACUGGUGUUCGGGUUGUCAUGCCAAUGGCAUUGCCCGGUAGCUAAAUGCGGAAGAGAUAAGUGCUGAAAGCAUCUAAGCACGAAACUUGCCCCGAGAUGAGUUCUCCCUGAGACUUUAAGUCUCCUGAAGGAACGUUAAAGACGAUGACGUUGAUAGGCCGGGUGUGUAAGCGCAGCGAUGCGUUGAGCUAACCGGUACUAAUGAACCGUGAGGCUUAACCUUACAACGCCGAAGGUGUUU